This 231-nucleotide ribosomal RNA is filed under the name uncultured Glomus. Its description in RNAcentral is "partial 18S ribosomal RNA". It matches the Rfam family "Eukaryotic small subunit ribosomal RNA", at positions 551 to 785 of the family's 1831-position model. The record is from RNAcentral. Lineage: Eukaryota; Fungi; Glomeromycota; Glomeromycetes; Glomerales; Glomeraceae.
UAGGGCAAGUCUGGUGCCAGCAGCCGCGGUAAUUCCAGCUCCAAUAGCGUAUAUUAAAGUUGUUGCAGUUAAAAAGCUCGUAGUUGAAUUUCGGGAUCAGUAUGUUGGUCGUGCUUCGGUACGUACUGUCAUUACUGGUUUCUCCCUUCUGAAGAACCAUGAUGUCAUUAAUUUGGUGUCAUGGGGAAUCAGGACUGUUACUUUGAAAAAAUUAGAGUGUUUAAAGCAGGC